GCGGGCGUGGCGGAAUUGGCAGACGCGCAAGAUUUAGGAUCUUGUGUCGAGAGGCGUGCAGGUUCAAGUCCUGUCGCCCGCA
RNAcentral lists this transfer RNA (82 nucleotides) under Peptococcaceae bacterium CEB3. RNAcentral describes it as "Desulfitobacterium sp. enrichment culture clone CEB3 tRNA". It matches the Rfam family "tRNA". Rfam says of the family: Transfer RNA (tRNA) molecules are approximately 80 nucleotides in length. Their secondary structure includes four short double-helical elements and three loops (D, anti-codon, and T loops). The record is from Rfam by way of RNAcentral. Lineage: Bacteria; Bacillati; Bacillota; Clostridia; Eubacteriales; Peptococcaceae.